Molecule: transfer RNA, 76 nt
Filed under: Rubrivivax sp.
Lineage: Bacteria; Pseudomonadati; Pseudomonadota; Betaproteobacteria; Burkholderiales; Sphaerotilaceae
Description: tRNA-Asn
Rfam family: tRNA
About the family: Transfer RNA (tRNA) molecules are approximately 80 nucleotides in length. Their secondary structure includes four short double-helical elements and three loops (D, anti-codon, and T loops).
Source: RNAcentral
UCCCCGGUAGCGCAGAUGGCAGAGCGCCUGGCUGUUAACCAGGAGGUCCGUGGUUCGAAGCCACGUCGGGGAGCCA